RNAcentral lists this ribosomal RNA (1579 nucleotides) under Salmonella enterica. RNAcentral's name for it is "partial 23S ribosomal RNA". It matches the Rfam family "Bacterial large subunit ribosomal RNA", at positions 1241 to 2802 of the family's 2925-position model. Lineage: Bacteria; Pseudomonadati; Pseudomonadota; Gammaproteobacteria; Enterobacterales; Enterobacteriaceae. RNAcentral also lists the same sequence under 1 other name. The record is from RNAcentral.
CUGUAAGCCUGUGAAGGUGGCCUGUGAGGGUUGCUGGAGGUAUCAGAAGUGCGAAUGCUGACAUAAGUAACGAUAAAGCGGGUGAAAAGCCCGCUCGCCGGAAGACCAAGGGUUCCUGUCCAACGUUAAUCGGGGCAGGGUGAGUCGACCCCUAAGGCGAGGCCGAAAGGCGUAGUCGAUGGGAAACGGGUUAAUAUUCCCGUACUUGGUGUUACUGCGAAGGGGGGACGGAGAAGGCUAUGUUGGCCGGGCGACGGUUGUCCCGGUUUAAGCGUGUAGGUGUGUGUUCCAGGUAAAUCCGGUUCACUUUAACACUGAGGCGUGACGACGAGGCACUACGGUGCUGAAGCAACAAAUGCCCUGCUUCCAGGAAAAGCCUCUAAGCAUCAGGUAACAUCAAAUCGUACCCCAAACCGACACAGGUGGUCAGGUAGAGAAUACCAAGGCGCUUGAGAGAACUCGGGUGAAGGAACUAGGCAAAAUGGUGCCGUAACUUCGGGAGAAGGCACGCUGACACGUAGGUGAAGUGAUUUACUCAUGGAGCUGAAGUCAGUCGAAGAUACCAGCUGGCUGCAACUGUUUAUUAAAAACACAGCACUGUGCAAACACGAAAGUGGACGUAUACGGUGUGACGCCUGCCCGGUGCCGGAAGGUUAAUUGAUGGGGUCAGCGCAAGCGAAGCUCCUGAUCGAAGCCCCGGUAAACGGCGGCCGUAACUAUAACGGUCCUAAGGUAGCGAAAUUCCUUGUCGGGUAAGUUCCGACCUGCACGAAUGGCGUAAUGAUGGCCAGGCUGUCUCCACCCGAGACUCAGUGAAAUUGAACUCGCUGUGAAGAUGCAGUGUACCCGCGGCAAGACGGAAAGACCCCGUGAACCUUUACUAUAGCUUGACACUGAACAUUGAGCCUUGAUGUGUAGGAUAGGUGGGAGGCUUUGAAGUGUGGACGCCAGUCUGCAUGGAGCCGACCUUGAAAUACCACCCUUUAAUGUUUGAUGUUCUAACGUGGACCCGUAAUCCGGGUUGCGGACAGUGUCUGGUGGGUAGUUUGACUGGGGCGGUCUCCUCCUAAAGAGUAACGGAGGAGCACGAAGGUUGGCUAAUCCUGGUCGGACAUCAGGAGGUUAGUGCAAUGGCAUAAGCCAGCUUGACUGCGAGCGUGACGGCGCGAGCAGGUGCGAAAGCAGGUCAUAGUGAUCCGGUGGUUCUGAAUGGAAGGGCCAUCGCUCAACGGAUAAAAGGUACUCCGGGGAUAACAGGCUGAUACCGCCCAAGAGUUCAUAUCGACGGCGGUGUUUGGCACCUCGAUGUCGGCUCAUCACAUCCUGGGGCUGAAGUAGGUCCCAAGGGUAUGGCUGUUCGCCAUUUAAAGUGGUACGCGAGCUGGGUUUAGAACGUCGUGAGACAGUUCGGUCCCUAUCUGCCGUGGGCGCUGGAGAACUGAGGGGGGCUGCUCCUAGUACGAGAGGACCGGAGUGGACGCAUCACUGGUGUUCGGGUUGUCAUGCCAAUGGCACUGCCCGGUAGCUAAAUGCGGAAGAGAUAAGUGCUGAAAGCAUCUAAGCACGAAACUUGCCCCGA